Molecule: long non-coding RNA, 229 nt
Filed under: Carica papaya (papaya)
Lineage: Eukaryota; Viridiplantae; Streptophyta; Magnoliopsida; Brassicales; Caricaceae
Description: long non-coding RNA (CPAP_LNC009683)
Source: RNAcentral
GAAAGCCAAAACAUACCUCAUUCUAACACCUUUUGGGUUGUGUGCUUGGGACCAAGGUGUCCUCUGCAAGCAUGUGGAUUAUAAAAACCCAAGACAGAAGGGACUUUCACUUCCGGGACACAUCGGCAGAUGAUCUGGUAUGUGUAGUGCUUCCACAUAUAUAGAUCAUCCCACACAUAUUACUUGCUUUCUCUUCUUAUUUUGUUUUUCUAUGACCUGGACAGUUCAU